RNAcentral lists this ribosomal RNA (412 nucleotides) under Pichia terricola. Its description in RNAcentral is "eukaryotic LSU rRNA". The stretch from base 82 to 234 matches the Rfam family "5.8S ribosomal RNA". The record is from RNAcentral. Lineage: Eukaryota; Fungi; Ascomycota; Pichiomycetes; Pichiales; Pichiaceae.
GUGCUCUGUGAUACUUUCACACUGCGUGCGCGUAACAAACCCCUAAACAUGAAUAACCUAGUCAAGAAUCCAUAAGAAUAAAACUUUCAACAACGGAUCUCUUGGUUCUCGCAUCGAUGAAGAGCGCAGCGAAAUGCGAUACCUAGUGUGAAUUGCAGCCAUCGUGAAUCAUCGAGUUCUUGAACGCACAUUGCGCCCCCUGGUAUUCCGGGGGGCAUGCCUGUUUGAGCGUCGUUUCUAUCUCACGCAAGUGGAGCUGGCCCGGCCUUGGCCCCGCCGAAAAGAAACGAGGGCGAAGCGAACUAUGUUGUGCGCCGACCCCAGCUACCAAGCUCGACCUCAAAUCAGGUAGGAAUACCCGCUGAACUUAAGCAUAUCAAUAAGCGGAGGAAAAGGAUCAUUACUGUGAUAU